CACCCACAGCAUGUGCACGUUCCCAGGCUGGAGGUGGAAUCAGAGCGACAGCUGUCAGCCUGCCCCACAGCCACAGCCACACAGGAUCCACACGGUGUCUGCGAGCUUCACCACAGUUCACGACAACGCUGGAUCCCAGGCCCACUGAGCGAGGCCAGGGAUCGAACCUGCACUCUCAUGGGUCCUACUCGGAGUCGUUUCCCCUGCGCCACAGCAGGAACUCCAAUCAUGGCACUUUAGUGGAGAAAGAACAGAGGGUUCCAGUCCAGGAGGUGGGCCAGGUGUUACUGUUCCACCCUCGGGCAUCCAGGUCUGUUCUGAGCUCGUCCCGUCCUCCGUAGACGGGGGUUUUGUCCUUUCCUGACUGCCUCAGGCAGUUGUGCGAGGAGAACACGCAGCAGGGGAGAGGCUAAGACGACAGGGGAGAGGCCCCGUGGGUGGACAGAACAUCCUCGUUUACCUGGAACCUUGACAUAACCUGGAACUUUUCUCCCCAGUUGGUGACCCCUUCUCAUGACCUGUUUUUCAUUUCCCUCGAUCCAGUGUGGCGUCUUCCCAUUUUCUGUUUUUCUGGUUGCUCAUUCACGAGUAUAUUGGCUGCUGUGUUUUUCAUUAUUUACCAUGUUACCAAGGUUUAUUUUUUAUUAUCUUUUUUUUAUUGACAUAUUUGCAACGUUACGUACGUUUCAGGUGUACAAUAUGGUGAUUCGCAAUUUGCAAAGGUUAUGGUUUAUAGUUAUCAUAAAACAUCGGUUCUAUUCCCUUGCUGCACAAUAUAUCCCCGUCGCGUCUUUAUUUUAUACAUAGUAGUUUGUGCUAUUAACCCCCUACCUGUACCUUCACCAACCCCCCUUCCCUCUCCCCAUCAUAACCACUAGCUAGUUCUCUGUGAGUCUGUUUCUUUUGUGUUACAGGCACUAGCUUGUUUUAUUUCCUAGAUUCCCCAUAUAAGUGAUGUCAUAUAGUGCAUAUAGUAUUCGUUUUUCUCUGUCUCGCUUAUUUCACUUAACACAAUGCCCUCCAAGUCCAUCCAUGUUGCUGCAUAUGGUAGCAUUCUUUUUUAUGGCUGAAUAUAUAUAUAUAUAUAUCUCACCUCCUCUUUGUCCUUUGCUCUGGUGAUGAAUACCUAGGUUGCUUCCAUGUUUUGGCCAUUGUAAAUACGCUGCUGUGAACACUGGGAGGCAUGUAUGCUUCCGAAUCAGUGUUUUAGUGUAACCAAGCUUUAAAUACGAAAUUCUGUCACCAAAAUGAUCUUUAAACAUUUCAUGAUAACCUUAUAACCUUCCCACUUUAAGGGAUUAAUUCUUCACAUUUAUUCUGCCUUUCUUGCUUGCUUGCUUGCUUGCUUGCUUCACCUGGGGAUUGAAUCCGAGCAACCCUGGAUCCUUGACUCACUGCACUGGGCCAGGGAUUGAACCUGUGCCUCCACUGACAAGAGCCCCUGCAGUCAGAUUCUUAACCCACUGCACCAUAGCAGGAACUCCAUAUUCGGCAGCUUUGGAGCUGAUCUUAGCAUUCUGUAGCUUUGCAUUUGGUACUGAGAACCCAGGAUUUGCUUUCUGGCUUGGGAAGUUAAUUGACUUGAGGAUGUUUCUCCAUUCCCCGCCCCCCACUCUCCCUUUCCUGGGGGCGUCAGGUCCCUCUGCCUUCACUCUGUUCUCAGAGCAGAUUAGCAGGACUUUGGCCUCCAGCAACAAACUAAUACCCACUAGACUCCAGAGCUCUCUUUCUGUCCUUCUUUUGCUCCAGAUGAAAGUCCCGUUUCAAAGACUGUUAACACCUGAUUUGUUGUAAGGCAUUCUGGAAAGUACUGUUUCCUACACCACUCUUAUACUCCAGUAUCAGAGGUAUGGUGGCCUGUUUCUUCUUUUGAGGACGUGUCUCAUUUUUCGUUUGUUUGUUUUUCAGGGCUGCACUUGUGGCAUAUGGAAGUUCCCAGGCUAGGGGUCUAAUCGAAGCUACAGCUGCCUGUCUACACCGCAGCCACAGCAACUCAGGAUCCAAGCCCCAUCUUCGACCUACACCACAGCUCAGGGCAACGACGGAUCCUUAACCCACCGAGUGAGGCCAGGGAUCAAACCCACGUCCUCAUGGAUCCUAGUCGGGUUUGUUAACCACUGAGCCGCGAAGGGAACUCCAAGGAUAGGUCUCAUGGAUGUAAUUCUAAAAUUACAUUUUAAAUCCACAGAUGAAGAAUAUGUGUUUCUUCAUGUCACACAUCAAGAGAGACUUUUUUUUUCGUCUUUUUGUCUUUUAGGGUCUCACCUGUGGCAUAUGCAGGUUCCCAGGCUAGGGGCUGAACUGGAGCUAUAGCCGCCAGCCCACGCCACAGCCACAGCGAAGCAAUGCCAGAUCUGAGCCACAUCUGCCACCUACACCACAGCUCAGAGCAAGGCCAGAUCCUUCACCCAGUGAGCGAGGCCAGGAAUCAAAUCCGCAUCCUCAUGGAUGCUAGUCAGGCUAACUGCUGAGCCACGACGGGAACUCCAAGAGAGACGUUUUAAUUCAUUCUGAAAUCUAUAUCGAAGAAUGCCUUAAAGCAAAAUUGCAACUUUACAGCUAUAUUAAUUACAAAGUAGAUCAAGUCUGAGUACAGUGACCCAGAGUCAGACCAGAGGCCCAUCUGAACUCAGAUUCUUUCUCCUCAAGCUUUUUACUGUGGUGCAGGCCAGUGGGUGGAGUGGGGUAUGUGAUAAGGUGGAAAGAUAUGUUUUCCUUCCCCGGUCUCCAGAAUGUCUGGAAUGUUCUUCAAAGGUGGAUCUGUCAGCAUGACCUUUGCUAAACUCCUUGAAUCCCUUUAUAUUUUAUCUGCUAUCUCUUGGGACAUACGUUUCAUAUUUUUAUUAUCAACAGUAGCGCAGCGCUUCCUCUUUUUGUCCUAAAAUUACCUCUUUCAAGCUUCGGGGAGUGCCUUCUGCCUUUAGGAUUGGGAAGCGAUGACUCCAUCAGUUCCACUCCAUCCCGGAGGCUCCGAUGGCAUCUGCGUAGCCUUUGUUUGCCGAGACUGGGAAAGCUCACUUGGGUUCAGAAAAUGGAAACUUUUCCAAGAAGCCUUCCUUCAGGCGCCAGAUCAUUUUCAGGCGUGGGUGCAAUGGCCCUACUGACAUGUAGGUGCUGGACGUCGACAAAGGGUUAAGCGUCACAGGCAGUCUUGGUCGACGUUCAAACACAGGAUGGUUCCAAAACACAUAACAUACACUCCAAAAUAAGCCAGGCUCGCCCCUCUUCAUGGGAUCACUGCAGACAUGCCAAAUUCUACAGCCCGUCAAUUGUAUACAUAUGGUAAAACUUUUCAUACCAGUCAACGUUUGCCUCCAUAUGAUUUUAAUUAGGGACAGAUUGGGUAGCUGGAAGAAAGCACUGGAAUGAAAGAGAAUAAAGUUAAACACAAGCCCUUUUAUAAAGGACCCUGGUUUAGGUUAAACCAUAUGCAAAGGACCGCUGCGGACAGUGAGAGGAAUGCGUGGUUUGGGGGCAACUGGGGAUGGGACGUGACUCCUCGUCCACCUGGGGACCCAGUGCUGAUCUGGUCGGAGAGUUUAGGGACACGGUGCUUAUAUUUCUUUUGAAGUUGGGACUUAGGCUGAUGCUCACGCCUUGUUACUGACAAUCGUCAGGCCCCAGGACAGAGCUGUCUUCUGCAGGACUAAAUUGCUCUCCGGGCAAAGAGCGCCUAUACUUCGAAAGGUUCAGGAGUUGGAUACAGCAGAUUUGUAGUUUUGAAACCCUCCCCUGGAUACAUACUGUAUUUUCUUAGGCUGUAUUCCUUGUUUCUCUGAAGUUAAUUGGACUGGGGAGUUCCCACUGUGGCUCAGCGGGUUACAAACCCGACUAAUAUUCAUGAGGAUGUGGGUAUGAUCUCUGGCCUCGAUCAGUGGGUUAAGGAUCUGGUGUUGCUGUGAGCUGUGGUGCAGGUCACAGAUGCAGCUCGGACCUGGCAUUGCUGUGGCUGUGGUA
This 3957-nucleotide long non-coding RNA is filed under the name Sus scrofa (pig). Its description in RNAcentral is "lncRNA (ENSSSCG00040037620.1)". The record is from RNAcentral. Lineage: Eukaryota; Metazoa; Chordata; Mammalia; Artiodactyla; Suidae.